GAGUAAGACAGCUUGGUCAGUUCAUCCGAGCAGGCUUGAUAAGGCUGGGUGUCAGCUUGGGCAGCAGUUUGUGAACCGUUGCACCUUUUGGGACUCUGUCUAACUCCCUUGGAGAAAUCUAAGAAUGUUUGGAUACAAUCUACACUCCCUUUGGAGGAACUGAAGCAACAUUUUUGGAGGAUAUUUUGAAGAACUCUGUACACCAGGGAGAAUGUAAAGUUUAUCAUGUUUGGGACAUAACAAUUGUUCUUUCACUUCUGAGGAAGCUCAUUGGGAAACAAGGACUUAUCACGAAACCUUGUCAAGUGAUUCAUGUAUAUUCAGUGUUUUACUAUAAUAAGUGACUUAUGUUAAUGAAGUGAUUCAAGAAGUUCCA
This is a long non-coding RNA of Hemicordylus capensis (graceful crag lizard), 376 nucleotides long. RefSeq lists it as uncharacterized. The transcript is spliced from 2 exons. Lineage: Eukaryota; Metazoa; Chordata; Lepidosauria; Squamata; Cordylidae. The record is from RefSeq and is a predicted model, not a curated record.